This 949-nucleotide long non-coding RNA is filed under the name Musa acuminata (dwarf banana). Its description in RNAcentral is "long non-coding RNA (MACU_LNC003792)". The record is from RNAcentral. Lineage: Eukaryota; Viridiplantae; Streptophyta; Magnoliopsida; Zingiberales; Musaceae.
CAGAAAUCAUCUCCCGGCCUAUGUAUAGGAACUUAGUGACGAAACAGCAAACCCGCGGGAGAGAAAAAGAAACUAUGCGCACUACGAAUCAGACCAAGCCGUUCUGAUCGGCCACGGCAUAAAGUUGCUAGGGUAGUCGGGUUGGUUGUAUCUGGAUCCCCGCUCCAUUCUCCGUCUUUGGUGGGCUUCGUUCGCGGCAUCUCAAGGUAGAAAGAAUCUUUUUCUUGUUCUCUUUCCCAUUCCUUUUCCCCUCGAUAGUAGUGUUCGUUCGGUUCUUCCGCGAUCUUGAUUUCUUUUUGCUCGAUUUCUUCUUUCUUUUUUUUUUGUUGGAAACGGGAGACGCAGAUGCCCGCGCUUGCUUUGGUCUGCUGUUGUGAUCUUGCCUUACUCCAUUUCUAAACCAGUUAUUGUUCUUGUUCUGACAGGGAAGAUCACUGGGGUUCUGAUUUGUUGUUGAUUUUAAGAUCUUUGUAUGGCAGAAUGAUUGUGGUAUGGGGUUGUGUUUGAUGUCAGCCAUACCUCGGUGGAGGUCCUCUCUUGGACCAUCUGUUCUUGAUGCUGCAGGGUUGGAUUCCAGUUGACGGCGAGUGCUUACAAUCCCAAUCCUGAAGAGAAGAUAUAUGAAAUGCUUAACUAUGAUUAAUCUUGCUUUUUUAUUGUCAUAGUUUUUCUUUUAUCUUCGCUUUGUCUUAAUUGUUUUUACAUUAGUUAAUGAUAUACGAUCAAUUAUCAUUCGAUACAUGAUCUCUGUGGUAUCCGUAUGAUGACCAAGCUGGCACGGGAAAGACAAGACCUGCCCCUUGAUUUGUCUGUGUGGACAUAAAGUCCAAAACAAACAUUUUCUUUCUAUUGUCUAAAUGGAUAAAGAGUUCGAGAGAAAUGUUUAGAGGCUUUCUAUUAGCUAAGGAAAUAUUUUUUAGAAUAUUUUUUUCUCUCUUUUUACCCGGUA